GAAACGGCUACCACAUCUAAGGAAGGCAGCAGGCGCGCAAAUUACCCAAUCCUAAUACAGGGAGGUAGUGACAAGAAAUAACAAUACAGGACUUUUUGGUUUUGUAAUUGGAAUGAGUUAAGUAUAAACCCCUUUACAAGUAUCAAUUGGAGGGCAAGUCUGGUGCCAGCAGCCGCGGUAAUUCCAGCUCCAAUAGCGUAUAUUAAAGUUGUUGCAGUUAAAAAGCUCGUAGUUGGAUUUCUGUUAAUAAUUUAUAUAAAAUAUUUUGAUGAAUAUUUAUAUAAUAUUAACAUAAUUCAUAUUACUAUAUAUUUUAGUAUAUGAAAUUUUACUUUGAGAAAAUUAGAGUGCUUAAAGCAGGCAUAUGCCUUGAAUACUCCAGCAUGGAAUAAUAUUAAAGAUUUUUAUCUUUCUUAUUGGUUCUAAGAUAAGAAUAAUGAUUAAUAGGGACAGUUGGGGGCAU
Molecule: ribosomal RNA, 463 nt
Filed under: Cryptosporidium parvum
Lineage: Eukaryota; Apicomplexa; Conoidasida; Eucoccidiorida; Cryptosporidiidae
Description: SSU rRNA
Rfam family: Eukaryotic small subunit ribosomal RNA
Source: RNAcentral